Long non-coding RNA from Pocillopora damicornis (cauliflower coral), 438 nucleotides. The record is from RefSeq and is a predicted model, not a curated record. Lineage: Eukaryota; Metazoa; Cnidaria; Anthozoa; Scleractinia; Pocilloporidae.
AAAAUUUGAUUAUAAAUGUUUUGGGGGGUUAAACAUAAAUGAAAUGAAAAAGAUAGUCACACUAGUACAACUGAACUUGGUUGAAAUCUUCUUUCAAAUGACCAGCAUUAAUUAGAUUAUGUGGCACAGUUCAUAGACAUGAUGAAGUAAAAAAAGCAAGAUGUUUGAAGAUUUGGGUAUUGAUGUGAUAAGGCAGCGUUUGAGGGUUACAAUGCCUGUAUUUUUGCUCAUGGUCAGAUGGGGGCCAGUAAAUCCUACAGUAUGAUGUGACAGGAGAUCCAAACCUUCAUUAAUCGUGCAUGGAAAUCAGAGAGAGGUGAAGGCUCAACUUCAUCCAUAUCCAAAUGUUAAACUGUUUGCUCUAAGUUUGAUGUUUGUGCAGUCACUAGUAUCAAGAUAUGUCCAGAAGUGCAUACAGUAACCAAAAUGGCGCAAAUU